GUUGGUUGUGGCUUUCCUCUGUAAUUCACCCAGCAAAUGCCAAGACCAGCAUUAGGACUUGGGAUUUGCCUUAUGCAGUGACCUUUAGGGUGAAGAAGAUUAGUGAAAAUUUUCAGAAAUAAUUCCCAGAAUUUUUAGAAGUUACCACUGCCAGUAGCUUUCUCUGAACUUCAUGGGAAAGAAAAACUUCAACCUAAAGAAGUCACUAGUUCAGAUACCCCAUAUGGAGACAUCCAAAAGUGGAAGUCACUUGGCUGUGGAAUGUCAUGUGUUACCUGUCAGCUCUCAAAAUGACACUUGGGCCUGAGUGGUUUGCAAAGGAAAAAAAGCAGGAAACUGAGUCUCACUCAUUUUGCUCACUUCUUGCAUCAUCGUCAGCAUAUGUGCUGUUGCAAUGGGAAGAACUCCAGGAGUGUUUAUGCCCAAGGGUGGAGAACAUGAGAGCCUGAGAGGAAUAAAGCAUAGCUGCUGUCUGAUGAAAUGCUGUGCUCUCUUCCUGCUAAGGAAGACAAGUGGCAGGUGAUCACAGAGGGUGUGGAGCUGCUCUGCAAGAAGUCAACAGGCAAGUGGAUAUGGCUUAUAAUAUGGCUGCUGUUCAACAAGGAAAAUACGUGAGACUACCUCUCCUGUUUAGUUUUUGGUACAUAAAAUUUGUGAUGUUCACCUUUGGCAUGUGGGUGGACUGCCAUUUUGGGUGGUGAUGGGGAAUACAACACUAAUUUGAGAGUCGGUGAUCAUGAUACAAAAGUGAUUGUAAGGCUGCACCCUGGUGCUUAUCUCUACUCUUUCUGUUGUUCAUUUCCUAUCUAUUGUUAUGGUUAUCACUUACAAUAAAAGAACAUUGAUUUACA
Molecule: long non-coding RNA, 851 nt
Filed under: Serinus canaria (Common canary)
Lineage: Eukaryota; Metazoa; Chordata; Aves; Passeriformes; Fringillidae
Description: lncRNA (ENSSCAG00000010669.1)
Source: RNAcentral